UAACAAUGAUUUCCCUAGUAACGGCGAGUGAAGAGGAAAGAGCUCAAAGUUGGAACCUGUUUGGCUUAGCUAAACCGGAUUGUAAACUGUAGAAACAUUUUCCAGGCACGCUAGACAAAAAAGUCCUUUGGAACAGGGCAUCAUAGAGGGUGAGAAUCCCGUCUUAAUCUAAGUAGUUGUCUAUUUGUGAUAUGUUUUCAAAGAGUCAGGUUGUUUGGGAAUGCAGCCUAAAUUGGGUGGUAAAUCUCACCUAAAGCUAAAUAUUUGCGAGAGACCGAUAGCGAACAAGUACCGUGAGGGAAAGAUGAAAAGAACUUUGAAAAGAGAGUUAAACAGUAUGUGAAAUUGUUAAAAGGGAACCGGUUGGAGCCAGACUGGCUUGACUGUAAUCAUCCUACUUUUUUUGUGGGUGCACUUGCGGUCUUUGCCUGCCAACAACAGUUUGAUUUGGAGGAAAAAAAUAUUUGGAAUGUGGCCUUUUUCGGAAGGUGUUAUAGCCUUUUAUAUCAUACUCUGGAUUGGACUGAGGAUCGCAGUUAUUGUUUCCGCUUGUUUUUCUUUUGCUGAUAAAUGUUAAAAUUUCUGCUUAGGGUGGUGUUAAUGUUUAAAGGUAAAACUAGGAUGAGUAUUGUGAUAACUUAGGUUGUUGGCUUAAUGACUCUAAAUGA
This 668-nucleotide ribosomal RNA is filed under the name Chaetocladium brefeldii. Its description in RNAcentral is "eukaryotic LSU rRNA". It matches the Rfam family "Eukaryotic large subunit ribosomal RNA", at positions 66 to 647 of the family's 3401-position model. Lineage: Eukaryota; Fungi; Mucoromycota; Mucoromycetes; Mucorales; Chaetocladiaceae. The record is from RNAcentral.